UUCGGGGUACACGAGCGGCGAACGGGUGAGUAACACGUGAGCAACCUGCCCCUGACUCCGGGAUAAGCGGUGGAAACGCCGUCUAAUACCGGAUAUGACACACCAUCUCCUGGUGGUGUGUGGAAAGUUUUAUCGGUCAGGGAUGGGCUCGCGGCCUAUCAGCUUGUUGGUGGGGUAAAGGCCUACCAAGGCGAUUACGGGUAGCCGGCCUGAGAGGGCGACCGGCCACACUGGGACUGAGACACGGCCCAGACUCCUGCGGGAGGCAGCAGUGGGGAAUAUUGCACAAUGGGCGAAAGCCUGAUGCAGCGACGCCGCGUGGGGGAUGACGGCCUUCGGGUUGUAAACCUCUUUUACCACCAACGCAGGCCCCGGGUUCUCUCGGGGUUGACGGUAGGUGGGGAAUAAGGACCGGCUAACUACGUGCCAGCAGCCGCGGUAAUACGUAGGGUCCGAGCGUUGUCCGGAAUUAUUGGGCGUAAAGAGCUCGUAGGCGGCGUGUCGCGUCUGCUGUGAAAGACCGGGGCUUAACCCCGGUUCUGCAGUGGAUACGGGCAUGCUAGAGGUAGGUAGGGGAGACUGGAAUUCCUGGUGUAGCGGUGAAAUGCGCAGAUAUCAGGAGGAACACCGGUGGCGAAGGCGGGUCUCUGGGCCUUACCUGACGCUGAGGAGCGAAAGCAUGGGGAGCGAACAGGAUUAGAUACCCUGGUAGUCCAUGCCGUAAACGUUGGGCGCUAGGUGUGGGGACUUUCCACGGUUUCCGCGCCGUAGCUAACGCAUUAAGC
RNAcentral lists this ribosomal RNA (785 nucleotides) under Nocardiopsis sp. NH12. Its description in RNAcentral is "bacterial SSU rRNA". It matches the Rfam family "Bacterial small subunit ribosomal RNA", at positions 81 to 865 of the family's 1533-position model. The record is from RNAcentral. Lineage: Bacteria; Bacillati; Actinomycetota; Actinomycetes; Streptosporangiales; Nocardiopsidaceae.